Triticum aestivum (bread wheat) is the source of this 1819-nucleotide long non-coding RNA. RefSeq lists it as uncharacterized. Lineage: Eukaryota; Viridiplantae; Streptophyta; Magnoliopsida; Poales; Poaceae. The record is from RefSeq and is a predicted model, not a curated record. The transcript is spliced from 4 exons.
CAGUUCCGGUCCACAACCCCGAUAGAACGCGAGGUGCAUCCCGAGCGCCCAGAGAGAAAUCUCUGCUGUCCAUCGAUGGACCGGCCGCCACCGGCAAUGUACCUCUCGCCGGAAUCAUACACCCAACUCCUUCUAAGCUUCUCCUCCAUCCCUGAUCUAGAUCCAAAUCGCGGUUGGACGCAACAAGAAGAACAAGAGGAGGGGGUGUUGCUGAUUUGGCCGGUAGCGGCGGCGAUUGGGCAAGCUGGAGUGAGACUGAACAUGAAUGCCAGUCCGACUCCUCCACACCAGAUCCAUCCGCACAGAGUGCCGAGGCCCACCGCCAAGUGAAUCGUGAGAACCAAGAUCUCCGGCGAGACUCGCCGCCGCGAGAUUUCGCCGCUGCAGAUAUUUCUUACCAGCAGGAAUAGGAAACCAACACUACAAACGUGCUGCAAUCAGAACGGUCUCCAAGUGACCAAUGUACAUGGAAAGGAAGGAUACGUCGUGGGGAAAUACCAUAUCAGCAUCAGUCUAAAGAGGGAAGGGUUUGUGCGCUUGAAAAAGCAAUGCGUAGCUUUGUUGAACGGAAGUCUGGACAAGUGGUCGCCCCUGAGAUUGGAAGAGUAUUCGACUCAAUCGCAGAGGCAUUUGAGUUCUACAACCACUAUUCUUGGGAGAUUGGGUUUGGCAUCCGAUAUGGUCAAUCUAGGACAAAUGCACAGAAAAGCAGAACCGUUCAAGACAUCGUUUGUGGUUGUGCGGUUAGUAUAAAUAACCGAAAGUGUUGUGUUGGCUGCUAUCCUUGUUAUUCCACCAUACUAAUCUGUGCAUUUGUCCUAACAGGCCAAAGAAAGAAAACACGAAGUCAGUAGCAUGCAACUGCCAAGCAUUGAUCAGACUACACCGUACAGCGGAUAAUGGAUGGUAUAUACACGAUUUCAGACCUGAACACAACCACCAUUUGUCAUCAUCGUGCGGCAAGAAACUACAUUGGCCAUCACACAGGCACAUUGACACACACACCAAAGAUAUAGUGAAGCACUUGAGGAGCAACAACAUUGGGAUAACCAAGGUUUUUUGUGUCAUCGCAAGCUUCUUUGGAUCAAUGGAGAGUGUACCAUUCAACAAAAUAUCUCUCAAGUAUAUGUGCAAGAGGAUGAACUAAGAGACUGCAGAUGAUGACAUCAGGAAAACAGUUGAGCUCUUCUCUGAACUUAAGAAGAAUGACCCAAUGUUUGCUAACAGUGUCCUUGUUGACAGCCAUAGCAAAAUUCAGGUCCUUAUGUGGACCAAUGGAAGGAGUAGAUACCAAUACAAAAAAUUUGGAGAUUCUAUCACAUUCGACACCACAUAUCGUACAAACCAGUACGAUAUGCCAUUCGGUCUAUUUGUUGGUGUCAACCAUCAUUUCCAGAGCAUAAUAUUAGGAGGUGUUAUGAUGAGAAACGAGAAGCAAGAAUUAUUCGAGUGGGUAUUCAAGGAAUUUGUUUCAUUGAUGGGAGGUAAAGCACCUGUAACUAUCCUAACAGUAACUAUCCUAACAGACCAAUGCCCUGCAAUGGAGUUGGCUAUUGCUAAAGUGUUGCCAGGAACGAAACACCGGUGGUGCAAAUGGACCUCAUUUAUGCACAUCUCGCACUUGAAAUAUCCAUGACAGUGAACUCUCCAAUACCUGAAAGAUGCUUAGAACUUAUCUUCAAUGCGUGCCGCACUUAAUAUACAGGGGACGAAGAACUUGUGUCAUUUGCAUAUCUCUUUUGAAGUACUUUGUCAACACACGUAUCACACUUUAAAGAUCGAUGCAGUCAUGCAGAAGAACUAAAAGACAAUAUUCUUA